GGGAACCGCUCGCGGGCUGCAGCCAACACAGAGGGUGCAACGCGGGGGGUGCGGGGGGGGGAGGCGGAGGCCGAGGCUGGGGGAGGGGAUGCGGGAUCAGCGGAGAAGGCGAGCGAACAUUUGCACCUGGUUCAAUGCAGACCCUUGUUCCCCGGGUCGGAAAGGAUGGAGCGAGGGUCGCCUCUUUAUCGUUGUCCAGAAUCAGAGGACAGUUCUGAGGCUCAGGAACAGGAGAAACAGGAAUUUGAAGACAGGAACAAGCGUUCUGUUUUGCCCUUGGAGAGCUGCUGACAACAAACAGAGUGGAGCUGAGAAUCAGUGCCAUAAAACAGUAGGAUGCUAA
RNAcentral lists this long non-coding RNA (343 nucleotides) under Cavia porcellus (domestic guinea pig). Its description in RNAcentral is "lncRNA (ENSCPOG00000034975.1)". The record is from RNAcentral. Lineage: Eukaryota; Metazoa; Chordata; Mammalia; Rodentia; Caviidae.